CGAAAAGGAUGUUAUUUCUAUUGCUCCUAGAUACAUGCAAGACUUAUUAUGAAGAUUCAGUGACACAUACAUAUUUACAGUGAGUUAAUUAGAUAAUUUUUAAGAGAACAUUUACCAUGACAACAUCAAAUGUUGUGACAAUUUUGUGUAUUUUUAGAGCUAUUGUCCUAUUAAAGGGAGCUAUCAUUUGAUUUUUAGAAUGUAGGACAGAAAGUCACAGGACAAAAAGUCACAAUUCAUUUUUUCUGAUUAUUUUCUUUGAAUUGAAAAAAAACCGCUUAUUCUACAAAAAUAUUUUUGUAUUUUUCUUGAACUAUUGUAUAUAAACCAACUUUGUUAACAAAAUUUAUCAAAAAAAUAUCAAAGAUGAUCAAAUAAUUGUUAAAAAAACAAAAUAUCAAAGUGGUUUGGCACUUAAAUCUAUCUAUCUAUCUUCCCGUCAAGGAGUGGACUCAUAUUUGAGUGUAUAUACUCCAGCGUGAGUGAACAGCUAAAAACCUUCAAGUAUGUACAGUUAAAAAGAGAUCUGUAUGUACUGUUAAAAACGGUGCUGUAAUGGCUUCAUGGUGCCAAGAAAUUUUUUUUUGCCUGAUUAAAGUUAAAUAAAUCUUGAUUUUUCAAAAUAUUUCUCUUAUAUAUUCAAACAAUUGUCACCAAAUUAUUUGUGACUUUUUGUCCUAUCAAAUUUGUGACUUUAUGUCCUGUGACUUUUUGUCCUGUGACUUUCUGUCCGUUUACCGAUUUUUAUGGGGGGGCUAGGAUGAAAAAUGUUGUCCUGCAUUUUGUUUUACAUGUUAUCUCUGUCCUGCCUUUUUAUUUUUCACUCUUUUCGGUCCUGCCUUUUUUUCUUAGUUUAUCUUGCUUGACAUUUUUUACAUCAAGUGUCAUCCUACCUUUUUUUUUGCCGAGUUGCUCAUCCUGCCUUUUUUUUUACUCAAACUCAAAACUCCUGUCCUGCUUUUUUUUCAAAUUUCAUCAAAGCCCCCCCCCCCCCCCAAAAAAAAAAAGUCAAUGGUAGCUCCCUAAAUGCAUGAAACAGAUUAAAACUUUGGUGGUUUGCUUGCUUUGACUGUAUAAACGUACCGUACCGUUCAAUUUGACUAUUUGAUAAUGUGUAAUCAAAUCUAAAUAAAAUGUAUACAGGAUUAUCUCCGCCUAGAAUUAUUGCUUGCAUACAUGUAUGUCAAUUAAAUAAAUAAUUAGAAAAUUAGCUCUAAUAUUCAAGUACUUCAGUCCCUGACAAUGAAAUUAAAUAACAUUUAUACAACCUGAUUUUUAUUUGGGUGGGGUGGGGGGGGGGAGGGGCAGAAGUAUUUUGAAAUGAAAAUCCUUUCACGGUAAGAGAUGCACACAAGUCAAGAUGAAAAUUAAAGAUUAUUUUGCAGCUCAAAAUGCACGAAACUUGAUGUGUCCAAAUUUAAAAGUGAAAAUAAUAACAAAUUUAACAUGUUUAACAGCAACCUUACCCAUGCCAACAAAAUGCACGAAACUUGAUGUGUCCAAAUUUAAAAGUGAAAAUAAUAACAAAUUUAACAUGUUUAACAGCAACCUUACCCAUGCCAACAAACUAUAAUUAAAUUCAAAUAUUUUGUCCAAUUUCUUGAGUUAACUUGUUUUUAUUUCCAUUUUUAAGAAUAUAUAAGAUGGGGAAAGAAAAACAAAUGUGUGCAUACAAAAAACAACUUUAUAUUUGGUUAGAAUAUAUGUGAAUGGUUAUGAUAAAACUUCUCUCAAAUUAUUUUGUUUCUUCCCAUCACAUGAUGUUUCCGUAAAUAUUAACGGAAAAAUUCAUAAAGCUUGCAGUUUUCUUUGUUUUUAUAAAAUGGUACAUGAGGUAAUUGUGUCGUUGUAGCAUAAAUAAUCUUGUGUAAUUCAUUUAUAUUUCUUGAUUUUAUGCAUUCCAAAACAUGUGCGAAUUUGGAAUCCUUCUCAAAAACUUAUUUUUUUUGUGGCCAAAACAUUGAGGCCUCUAGGUCAUUCAGGGAUAUAACUCAAUAGGGUUAUUACAGAAAAUAGCUUGAAUGUGUUAUUACAGAAAAUAACUUGAAUGUGUUAUUACAGAUACUUUCAUGAGAUGUCUACCUAUACUCUCUAUUCCUUAAAUUUUCUAAUUCUGUAAUAACAUAUGUUUGAUAUUUGUAAAAUAAAUUAAAAAUAUUUUAAUCUACAUGUAUAGUGGGCUCUAGGGAACUCUUGAGAAUUUGCGCAGAAACUAAAGUAGAACUUUUCGUAAAGGGGGAGUGGGCUGCUGACUAACCUAAGGGGGGGGGGUUGCUCCAGUCAUGCUUCAGUGAUUCCCUAUAUAAUCAACCAAAUAUUUUACACGAUAGAACUUGUAUGCAUUUUAACUAAACUAAUGAUGUAUAUAUAUUGUCCCUUUGAAACAUGUAACAUACAUAUGUUAUCACAGUUCUUUGAUUUUUUAAUCCACAAUAACAAAUGUAUGUUCUUUUCUGUAAUAAGUUAAUAACCCUAUAGAUUUAUAUCCCUGACUGAAGGAUUGCACCUAACAGUAUAGGGAGAUAACUCUGUAAAAGCAGCUAAACGUCUUAAUAACAUUGUAUUGUUAAGGAAAUAUUUAAGAAGCUUCUCAAUGAUCAAAAUUAAUGUUUGUCAAACUGCUAUAUAUCCAAUGAAAUUUUUUCAGAGAAAGUGUGUGGUUCAAGUUUUUUGAAAUUUUUAUAUUUUUGUCAAAGGGUCAAAAUUAAUAUUUUGUCAAAAUUUUAUGAAAAUUAAAUGAGCCAAAUUAAUUUUAGACAAGGUGUUUGGUACCACCUUAAUGCCCCUUAAUUCCCCUUAUAUCAUUAUGUACAUUAUGUCUCCUGUACCUAAGACUCAUGGUCAUAUCUGCAUUCUUUUAGUACAAUGUUGGUGCAUCUUAUUGCUCUUUAAGGGCAAUUUCUUAUAGAUAGCUUUCUGUCCACAGUGAUCUAUAAUAACAGUCUGGUAAUUCUAAUAAUAUUUUAAUGUGCCUGUCACAAGACAGGGGUCUCAUUGGUAGCUGUCCUAUGUCCUUUCUUAAUACAUGUAUGUUUCUCUCUUAAUUUGGAAAAUAGGUUUUUUUGUGGCAGAGCAUCACCAUGUCAUUCAUUUUGUUAAUAUUCAUAACUUUGGAUGAUUAACAGUUAAAUAAUGAUUUAGAAUUGAAAAGUUCACUUUGUUAGACAUUAUUAAAAACUUAUAAUGAUCUAAAAUAACAUUAUUUCUGCUUAAUUAAGAAGAGAGUCCAAUAGAUAUAGGAAGAUGUGGUGUGAGUGCCAAUGAGACAACUCUCCAUACAAAUAACAAUUUAAAAAGUAAACCAUUAUCGGUUAAAGUACGAUAGAAUGUAUAAAUAUAUAUUUAUUUAGAAUUCCUUGAUUUAAUUUUAUUAUGUAGUAGUGUCAUUUGAGCAAUGUGACAUUGCAGCAAUAUAAAGACUAGAUCAUACCUCGUUAUUUUUAAGUCAAAGUUAUUUAAGAAAUAUUUUACAAUGAGAAGCAUUAUAAAAAGUCAUAGCAUCUAUCUUCACUAAGGGAAAUAAUCCCUUUGUUGUUAUACCCCCGCUUUAAAAAAGGGGGGGUAUACUGUUUUACCUCUGUCUGUCAGUCCGUCCGUCAGUCCGUCGUACCGUCCAUCAGUCCGUCCGUCCGUCAGUCAGUCCGUCCCAUGAAACUUUCGUCACAUUUUUCUCAGGAACUACACAUCCACCCUUUCUGUAAUUUGGUAUCAACAUUUAUAUAUGUCAGCCAUACCGUGUGAUGCGUUUUCAGAUUCAUCACUUGACAACUUCCUGUUUACCGAACACUUGUCUGAUUUUACACAUGAUAGCCAAGUUGAAAAUUUCCAUCACAUUUUUCUCAGGAACUACAAUACAAGGAUUUCUGAAAUUUGGUUUCAGGAUUUAUAUAAGUCAGCAUACCGUGUGAUGCGUUUUUCAUUCAUCACUCGACAACUUCCUGUUACCGAACACUUGCAUAUUUUACACUAUUAAUAUUAUCCACUUGCGGCGGGGGUAUCAUCCGUGAGCAGUAGCUCGCAGUUUCACUUGUUUCAUUUGUCUUGCACAUGUGGGACCAAGCACCUUUAAUAUAUGUGAUGAUAAUACUUUCACAAGACUCAUGAGAAUAAAAUUAAUGCUUAUCCUUCUUUAGACAGCAAUAUGUAUAUAAAUAUUUUUAAUUUAGAGUACAACUUGAUACAUGAAAUACAAUGUAUUGCUAUUUUAAAAAUAUGGAAUUUUGUCUAUAGAAUGGGACAUUAGAUAAAACUUAAAGUUUACUCGUGCCAAGUAUUUCUUUUUUGAAAUACAGAUAAAAAGUGCAAAUUUAACAGACAAAUGGUUAAAAUCAAUGGUGAUAUUUACACCUACAAAUGUUACAUGUAUAUAGUGUAUUUGUUUAAAGUUAAUUUUAACAUGUUUAAGCAGGAAAAUGACUGAAAUGCUGAAAAGAGGUUUCAAUUAUUUAGAAGACUAGUUAUUAGCUAAAGUGAAAAUAACUUGCUAUCUAUUGUGUAUAUGAACUGCUGACCAACAACAAUAGUUGACCAUUGAAUUUUAUGUUAAAUCUAACAAUUGAAAUCUGUUCACUGAGGCAUAACUGAGUGGAAUUUACCUGAUCAUAACAGCUUUUAAAUAUGAUGAGUCCAAUUUUCAGUCACUUGAGCAGUAAACUAGACAUGUGCAUAUUGAAUAAAGUAGGUACCUAUACAUUUACAUCAAUUAGUGCACCCAUUGCUGCAGGUUAAUGCCAUAAUAAGAAGAAAAUAAUGUGCUUUUGCCAUUUUCUGCUUUAGAUACAAAUAAAUGGUCUCAAUCUGUUUUAAAUACAGAGUAUUGGAAAUUAGAGAUUUGUCUCCAAUUGUAUAAUAAUAUUAGAAUAAUUUCAUUAUUUGUGUCAAUAUUUAUUGACUGUUUGAAUCAUUUGUUUUCAGGCUUCUAUAUAGCUAAGUUAUUUACAAACCAUUGUGGCUAACAACUCCAGACAAAACACUGUGACGGCAACAUGAGACAACACAUUUAGCAGGCAACACUAGACAAAACACUGUGACAGCAACACUAGACAACACACUAGCAGGCAACACCAUACAAGAUGAUGGAAUGACAGAGGUUUUUCCAUGGUAAGCAUCUUUUGUAAUUCAUUCCCUCAUUGUCUCUCAACCUUAUUAUAAUCAGGGGUCAGGUUAUUUAGUUAAAACAAAAAGUCUAUUCCUUAAAUGUCAAUGUAUUGAUUGAUUCAUUGGUGUUUAAAGGCCACUUAGCCAGCUAAAGUGCCUGGAGAGAAUCGACAACAUCUAGUUGAAAAAUUUACAAUCCUGUUAAUUCAAAUAUUAUUCGAGUGUAUCUGCCACAAGUGGGAUUCAAACUCACAACCUCCGUGAGUAUUGACAGGCUAGUUGUACAGUAGUUGACUAUUUGGACACCUCGGCCAUCUAGGCCCCUAAUAUCAAUUUAAGAUUAAUCAUACAUGUACAUGUAAAGUCUUGUCCUCAAUUUCAGUGCUACAUCUACAAAAUGUAGCUAUGAAAAAAAGUGCAUACUAUUUUGGUUUUGCCUUCAGCAUCCUACAGUAGCUAUAGGUUGCAAAAAUUUAGAUUACUAUAUAUAGUUAAUAUUUAUACACCCAAUAUAGACAAUGGGGGCAUUAAGUACUACUCUUGAGGUCUGUCUUUCUGUAUCCGUCUGUCCCAUUUUCCCUUCCGCACUCUUAACUUAAGUUGCCUUAUACAAUUUUAUAAAACUCAUACACGAUGAACAGAACCACAACACACAUAGUUUGAAUUAGGGCAGUGCGUCAUUAAUUGUUCUAGAGUUAUGUCCCUUUUUUACUUGGUUAAUUGCAAAGCUUGAGUGUCCUCAAACACAUUCUCAUUAAUCUUUUAUUAUUUAUGCAUCAAUUACUUUAUUUUUUCUUGGAAUAUUUAUUGUCAAACAGAAGCUUUUUCAUUUGAUGAUAAUAAAAAAAAGUAUCCCAAACAAUUGCUUAGGCAGCAACCAUUUGAUUUUCGGAAGGGGGGGGCUAUGGAUUUGUGUUCCGUACAAACUUUUUUUUUGCAUUUGGCAAUAACCAGAAAUCUGGCAAUUAGCAACAGCAUAGAGUAUUGCAUGCAAGCAAAAAAUUGAAUAUAAAUUCAAUUCAUAUAACCAAUUUGAAGUUCUUUGACUACAGCUAUUCUGUGUCAGAAACCUAUUAUGUCUCAAAAAUCUAAUUACAAUCCAAAAUCAGACCUGUAUCUAGCGUGAAUAUUGUGUCCAUUUUGGCCCCAACUUUUCAGGGUUGGACAUCUGCAGUAGUAUCCAGCUGCGCUCAGCGAAGCAACUUAUUUGCCUAUGCAUUGACUUGGUUUUGGCAUCUUUUUAUGUCUUUACGUGUCAACAUUUUAUUUAUUAGUUAUUGGCUAAGUUGAACUAGCUUUCAGUAAUUGGGAUUAAUCUAAGAUAUUUACUGUGUGUCUUAAUUUAGUGUUUUUUGUAUCGAUCUGAUGAGUUCAGCCCUUUUGAACAGAUUUUAACAGAUUUAUGGUUAUUGAUUUUGGAAUGUACUAGGAGUGGGCAUCCAAUGGCGGCCAGGUGUCUGCUAAGCAGUACUGUCAAUGCAUUUACUAAUGAACCGUUUUACCGAUCAGGAGUUGCGGUUCUGGAAAGAUGGAAAAUUGGUGUUUCCAGUUGUGUUCAUGCUUUAAAAAGUUAUGAACUGUUCAACCUAAGCUUUUAAAAUUUAGAUAUGUUGUUACUGUUGACAAAAUGGAGGUCAAGUAAGAUAUUGACUAUUUUCACUUUCACUGUAUGUUUAGGAGUUGCAUUUUAUUGAAAGAUUGAAAAAAUGAUUUUUCCAGUCCUGUCUGUACGUGCUUUUACUCCUGAACCCUUCAGUCAAAGUUUUUGAAAGAUUUAAAAAGGGUGUUAUAAUGAUGAUUGUCACUUUUUACGUUCAUUGCUUAUGGUCCUUCUGAUAUUGAAAAAUGUCAGGACACAAAUAAAUAUUAAAAAAUCUGGUUUGCUGUCAAGUGCUCUGACAGCCUCUUGUUAUAGUUUGUACAUUGUACUUAAAAUAAUAAUGUUAUGCUGUUGAACUGCUGUUAAACCACUUAGUUUGUUUAAGUUUGUUCUAUAUAUAAUAAUUUAUGCUGUUUAACCACUUAGUUACCAACCUCAAUCGAGUAAGUUGGAGGAUUGUUAACCACUUAGUGUCCCAAUCGAGCAAGUGGGAGAAUUGGAUGCCAGUAAACAUGUUUAACCCCACCACAUUUUAAUAUGCUUGUUCCUAAUCAGAAGCCCUGUAAUAUGGGGGUGGUUGUUUGUUGCUGUAUAUCAUAUUUGUUUAACAGUCAAAAGGCUAUUUGGUGACCUAUUGUUGUUAACUUCUACGUCUUUUGGUCUCUGGUGGAGAAAAGUCUCAUUGGCAAUAUACAUGUACCACUUCUUCCAGUGGCGGAUCCAGAACUUUUCCUAAGGGGGGCCCACUCCAGUCAUGCUUCAGUGAUUCCCUAUAUAAUCAACCAAAUUUUUCCCACGAAAGGGGGGCCCCCCUGGAUCCGCCUAUGUCUUCUGAUAUUCAUAUUUAUUCUUUUUUAUAAAUUUAUUCUUAUUUAUAAUGUAUGUUUAAAAUUGACUCAUUUUGUCUGUGGUUAAUGAAGAGGAUUUAUCAAUCAAAACUUUCACAUAUUUUGUGUUUAUGAUUAAGCAAAUAUAAUUUUUGAGAGCAUUUGAUGUCUCUUUUAAUGAGUAAUUUUUAGGUAAUAAAGGGGCAUAAUUCUAGAACAAUAAGUGACUCACAUCUCAAAGACUUUUUACAAGUUUUGGUUCUGAGCAUUGCAUAUCAGUUUCUCAAUUUUUAUGCCCCAUUUAUGGGCAUUAUGUUUUCUGGUCUGCGCGUCCGUCUGUCUGUUCGUUUAUGCCCCAUUUAUGGGCAUUAUGUUUUAUGGUCUGUGCGUCUGUCCGUCUGUCCGUUUGUUCGUUUGUCUGUUCGUCCCAGGUUAAAGUUUUUGGUCGAGGUAGUUUUUUAUGAAGUUGAAGUCCAAUCAACUUGAAAUUUAGUACACAUGUUCCCUAUGAUAUGAUCUUUCUAAUUUUAAUGCCAAAUUAGAGAUUUCCCCCCAUUUUCACGGUCCAUUAAACAUAGAAAAUGAUAGUGCAGAUGGGGCAUCCGUGUACUGGGGACACGUUCUUGUUUUAGCAUUAACUUGGCCUAACUGCAGAAACCAGCAUAUGCAUGUACCUUGGAAAUAAAAAAAUAUAUGAGUUAUUUCCCCAAUUGACUUGGGUAUAUCAAAGGCUCUUUAUAUCAUAGCUCAGUUUAAAUAUCUGUAAGUGUUGAGAUCAUUUCAAACUUGACAUAUACUUUUAACGCUGUUUAAAUUGAGUUUUUAUAAAAUGUGUAGUCAUUAUUAACAUGAAUAGGCUUAAACAUAUUGUUUUCUUUAUAUAUGAUAUUUGUAAUCGGAUGCUUUUCCUAAGUUGGAUAUGGUACCUAUUCAAUUAUAUCAGUGGUUUACAAAUCUGCAGUUUUCUAAUAAUUGAAUUAUUUUUAUAUUGUAGAUGAUGUUUUUGGGAUAUAGCUGCAUUUAAAAGAAGGGGACAGCUGUAGAUGAAACUUUUGAGGUAGAA
RNAcentral lists this long non-coding RNA (8587 nucleotides) under Mytilus galloprovincialis (Mediterranean mussel). Lineage: Eukaryota; Metazoa; Mollusca; Bivalvia; Mytilida; Mytilidae. The record is from RNAcentral.